CGGGAAGAGCUCAAAUUUAAAAUCUGGCAGUCUCUCGGCUGUCCGAGUUGUAAUCUAGAGAAGUGCUAUCCGCACUGGACCGUGUACAAGUCUCCUGGAAUGGAGCGUCAUAGAGGGUGAGAAUCCCGUCUUCGACACGGACUACCAGGGCUCUGUGAUGUGCUCUC
This 167-nucleotide ribosomal RNA is filed under the name Cortinarius sp. Its description in RNAcentral is "partial large subunit ribosomal RNA". It matches the Rfam family "Eukaryotic large subunit ribosomal RNA", at positions 99 to 258 of the family's 3401-position model. The record is from RNAcentral. Lineage: Eukaryota; Fungi; Basidiomycota; Agaricomycetes; Agaricales; Cortinariaceae.